UGAGUUGGCAUCAACACACUAUUAAAGUCACAACGGUAAAAGAUGAGCAUGCGUCCCAUUAGCUAGUUGGUAAGGUAACGGCUUACCAAGGCAACGAUGGGUAGGGGUCCUGAGAGGGAGAUCCCCCACACUGGUACUGAGACACGGA
Molecule: ribosomal RNA, 148 nt
Filed under: Flavobacterium psychrophilum
Lineage: Bacteria; Pseudomonadati; Bacteroidota; Flavobacteriia; Flavobacteriales; Flavobacteriaceae
Description: partial 16S ribosomal RNA
Rfam family: Bacterial small subunit ribosomal RNA
Source: RNAcentral